CUAGCACUUUGGCUGUGACCU
Molecule: microRNA, 21 nt
Filed under: Spodoptera frugiperda (fall armyworm)
Lineage: Eukaryota; Metazoa; Arthropoda; Insecta; Lepidoptera; Noctuidae
Description: sfr-miR-11-5p
Gene: sfr-miR-11-5p
Source: miRBase by way of RNAcentral